RNAcentral lists this ribosomal RNA (253 nucleotides) under uncultured bacterium. RNAcentral's name for it is "partial 16S ribosomal RNA". It matches the Rfam family "Bacterial small subunit ribosomal RNA", at positions 524 to 776 of the family's 1533-position model. The record is from RNAcentral.
UACGUAGGGGGCAAGCGUUGUCCGGAUUUAUUGGGCGUAAAGAGCGUGUAGGCGGCCAGGUAGGUCUGCUGUGAAAACUCGAGGCUUAACCUCGAGCUGUCGGCGGAAACCAUCUGGCUAGAGUCCGGAAGAGGAGAAUGGAAUUCCCGGUGUAGCGGUGAAAUGCUUAGAUAUGACAUAGAACACCAAUUGCGAAGGCAGCUGGCUACACGAAUAUUGACACUGAUGCACGAAAGCGUGGGGAUCAAACAGG